AUAUCUUAUGAAUAAAGUAUAUUUUUCAAAAAAAAAUCUGUUCUUAUCAGUUUAAUAUCUGACACGUCCGAUAUCUGGGGGCCCAUAUAUUAAAUUGAUUUUUGGGGCAGGCAGAUGGAACAGGAUCUUGCUUUGUCCACUCCACACAUCGGCCUGGUAUUGCAGCAUCUUCAGGAAUGGUACAGUUUUG
Molecule: small nuclear RNA, 190 nt
Organism: Carcharodon carcharias (great white shark)
Lineage: Eukaryota; Metazoa; Chordata; Chondrichthyes; Lamniformes; Lamnidae
Product: U2 spliceosomal RNA
Exons: 1
Source: RefSeq, a predicted model, not a curated record